This 294-nucleotide long non-coding RNA is filed under the name Ictidomys tridecemlineatus (thirteen-lined ground squirrel). RNAcentral's name for it is "lncRNA (ENSSTOG00000031230.1)". The record is from RNAcentral. Lineage: Eukaryota; Metazoa; Chordata; Mammalia; Rodentia; Sciuridae.
GACGGGGGUCUCCCCCCGGCAUCACGGGAAGGGCUGGGUGUGGUGGCGGCCUGGGUCAGGAGCAGGGUGGUCCCAGGGGGCAGGGGUCAGUACAGGUUUCUCUCCCCAGCGUCCAGUACAACAAGUUCACAGCCGCGGGUGCCCAGCAGCUGGCCUCCAGCCUGAGAAAGUGUCCUCACGUGGAGACGCUGGCAAUGUGGACACCCACGAUCCCCUUUGGUGUCCAGGAGCAUCUGCAGCAACUGGACUCCCGGAUCAGCCUGAGAUGACCCUGGCUGUGCUCUGGACAAGGUG